GCACCGGUGGCGUAACGGUAACGCACGUCGGCAGAGUCAUUAGAGUUUUGGAAUUCCCACGUUUCACGACGAGUUCGGGGUUCGAGUUCCAGCCGGUGCA
Molecule: non-coding RNA, 100 nt
Organism: Mycena maculata
Lineage: Eukaryota; Fungi; Basidiomycota; Agaricomycetes; Agaricales; Mycenaceae
Source: the annotation of a GenBank genome assembly